CCCAAUUUACUCUGAUAAGGGCAG
This 24-nucleotide non-coding RNA is filed under the name Cricetulus griseus (Chinese hamster). The record is from RNAcentral. Lineage: Eukaryota; Metazoa; Chordata; Mammalia; Rodentia; Cricetidae.